GACGAACGCUGGCGGCGUGCUUAACACAUGCAAGUCGAACGGAAAGGCCCUGCUUGCAGGGUACUCUAGUGGCGAACGGGUGAGUAACACGUGGGUGAUCUGCCCUGCACUUCGGGAUAAGCCUGGGAAACUGGGUCUAAUACCGGAUAGGAGCCAUUUUUAGUGUUAUGGUUGGAUAGUUUUUUCGGUGUAGGAUGAGCUCGCGGCCUAUCAGCUUGUUGGUGGGGUAAUGGCCUACCAAGGCGGCGACGGGUAGCCGGCCUGGGAGGGUGGACGGCCACAUUGGGACUGAGAUAAGGCCCAGACUCCUACGGGAGGCAGCAGGGGGGAAUAUUGCACAAUGGGCGUAAGCCUGAUGCAGCGACGCCGCGGGGGGGAUGACGGCCUUCGGGUUGUAAACUCCUUUCGCUAGGGACGAAGCUUUUUGUGACGGUACCUAGAUAAGAAGCACCGGCUAACUACGUG
This 465-nucleotide ribosomal RNA is filed under the name uncultured bacterium. RNAcentral's name for it is "partial 16S ribosomal RNA". It matches the Rfam family "Bacterial small subunit ribosomal RNA", at positions 28 to 507 of the family's 1533-position model. The record is from RNAcentral.